UACUUUCAUUAAGGUAAAACUUUCAAAGGGAAUGACCCCAUACUCACUGGGUAGUUUGGCCCCUAUGCUAACUUCAGCUUUGUCAAUUUGGGAAUGAAGAAACUCUAAAAGAUCACUAGGUGCUUGCUCUUUGUUGCUCUGAUAGCCUAUGCCAUCUCACUCAUUUCUUGUAAUUCUUGUUUUAGUUGGGCAAUUUGGCGUUUCAGACUGGUUGCCCUGGUCUGAUAAUGUUCUUCUUGUUCCUGUAGGAGGGCUUGAUAAUACUCUUUACCAUAAUUUUCCCCAACAACACCAGGAAGAGAUGCAUUUCCAUCAGUCUGGGGGGCACAUUCCAGGAGGUACAUAAAUAAUACCAAACUGCAGAGCAAAGCAAGGCCC
Molecule: long non-coding RNA, 378 nt
Filed under: Homo sapiens (human)
Lineage: Eukaryota; Metazoa; Chordata; Mammalia; Primates; Hominidae
Description: HSALNT0161816
Source: RNAcentral